Molecule: ribosomal RNA, 400 nt
Filed under: uncultured bacterium
Lineage: Bacteria
Description: bacterial SSU rRNA
Rfam family: Bacterial small subunit ribosomal RNA
Source: RNAcentral
UAAGGAAUAUUGGUCAAUGGAGGCAACUCUGAACCAGCCAUGCCGCGUGGAGGAUGAAGGCCCUCUGGGUUGUAAACUUCUUUUAUGUAGGAAGAAAGGCAGAUAGUCUUAUUUGUUUGACGGUACUACAGGAAUAAGCACCGGCUAACUCCGUGCCAGCAGCCGCGGUAAUACGGAGGGUGCAAGCGUUAUCCGGAUUCACUGGGUUUAAAGGGUGCGUAGGCGGGUGUGUAAGUCAGUGGUGAAAGCCUGGAGCUUAACUUCAGAACUGCCGUUGAUACUACACGUCUUGAAUGCUGUGGAGAGGAGCGGAAUAUGUCAUGUAGCGGUGAAAUGCUUAGAUAUGACAUAGAACACCGAUUGCGCAGGCAGCUCCUUACACGGUUUAUUGACGCUGAGG